CGGCUGCCUUUUUAUUCCGCAUUUAAACUAUAUAAAACGAAUGAAUGAAUAUCGUAGAGAUGCUUCCAACUCUAUUAUUAUUAGAGCGAGACACUUUCUUAUUGAGAUCGAACCAAUGAGGGAUACGCGUGUAUAUUUUUUACUGCUAAGCGGGUUAUUAAAUUCGAAAUAACCGAGCUAAAGAAACCCUAGUUUAUAAUAUGCUUUAUUUUUAAUUUUAUAUUUAUUUUG
Non-coding RNA from Cinara cedri, 231 nucleotides. Lineage: Eukaryota; Metazoa; Arthropoda; Insecta; Hemiptera; Aphididae. The record is from the annotation of a GenBank genome assembly.